Bolinopsis microptera is the source of this 230-nucleotide long non-coding RNA. RefSeq lists it as uncharacterized. The transcript is spliced from 3 exons. The record is from RefSeq and is a predicted model, not a curated record. Lineage: Eukaryota; Metazoa; Ctenophora; Tentaculata; Lobata; Bolinopsidae.
UUUAUAUAUGAGACAAUUGAAGUGAUAUGUGACUCAGUUUAGUGCAACGUGGAGUCGUUAAAUCAGCUACCCAAAACACAGAAAUCGACAUACAGAGAAUAAUGUUAAAUCGAAGAACAAAAGCCGAUUACAUCAGCAAAUAAAGAUAAAGUUCUCUUCAAAAACGAUGUCGGAAAAAGAUCUAUCAAUAUCUGGAUCAGUUGCUAUCACGAUUUGCUAUGGUAUCGUCG